GCUUCUUGAUUCAGAUUUUGGUGAGUGGCGGACGGGUGAGUAACACGUGGGUAACCUGCCCAAAAGUGGGGGAUAACAUUUGGAAACAAGUGCUAAUACCGCAUAACAACUGCUUUCACAUGAUCGCAGCUUGAAAGAUGGCUCUGCUAUCGCUUUUGGAUGGACCCGCGGCGUAUUAGCUAGUUGGUGAGGUAAUAGCUCACCAAGGCAAUGAUACGUAGCCGACCUGAGAGGGUAAUCGGCCACAUUGGGACUGAGACACGGCCCAAACUCCUACGGGAGGCAGCAGUAGGGAAUCUUCCACAAUGGGCGAAAGCCUGAUGGAGCAAUGCCGCGUGAGUGAAGAAGGUUUUCGGAUCGUAAAACUCUGUUGUUGAAGAAGAACAUGCGUGAGAGUAACUGUUCACGUACUGACGGUAUUCAA
RNAcentral lists this ribosomal RNA (424 nucleotides) under Lactobacillus sp. RNAcentral describes it as "bacterial SSU rRNA". It matches the Rfam family "Bacterial small subunit ribosomal RNA", at positions 68 to 482 of the family's 1533-position model. Lineage: Bacteria; Bacillati; Bacillota; Bacilli; Lactobacillales; Lactobacillaceae. The record is from RNAcentral.